Molecule: long non-coding RNA, 320 nt
Filed under: Mytilus galloprovincialis (Mediterranean mussel)
Lineage: Eukaryota; Metazoa; Mollusca; Bivalvia; Mytilida; Mytilidae
Source: RNAcentral
CGUUGAUCUAGUCUUUUGCACAUUCCUGAAUGACGUCGUAUGUUUUUUACAGCUAUAUAACCUGAAAAACAGACAUGUUGAGACUUUUUGUACGUUUCAGAAUGUAAUAUAAUUUGACAAAAAGAAGAUUGUCAGGUGAAAUGUGUAAAUGUCUAUUAUUGUAGAAAUCACACAAGUCCGUUUCUACAUGUAUAUACUACAUGUACAUCGUCUUAACCAUUGAAAGCCAUCAAUGACCAAACGAAUAGCCAGUUGGAAUGUAGUCUUGUGAUACUAUAUUAGCAAAUAAAAUUAACGCAGAUAUGUGUAUACUUGUUUCG